AUUCGCUUUAGGAUGGACUCGCGUCCAAUUAGCUAGUUGGUGAGGUAACGGCCCACCAAGGCGACGAUUGGUAGCCGGACUGAGAGGUUGAACGGCCACAUUGGGACUGAGACACGGCCCAGACUCCUACGGGAGGCAGCAGUGGGGGAUAUUGCACAAUGGGGGAAACCCUGAUGCAGCGACGCCGCGUGGAGGAAGAAGGUUUUCGGAUUGUAAACUCCUGUCGUUAGGGACGAUAAUGACGGUACCUAACAAGAAAGCACCGGCUAACUACGUGCCAGCAGCCGCGGUAAAACGUAGGGUGCAAGCGUUGUCCGGAAUUACUGGGUGUAAAGGGAGCGCAGGCGGGAAGACAAGUUGGAAGUGAAAACCAUGGGCUCAACCCAUGAAUUGCUUUCAAAACUGUUUUUCUUGAGUAGUGCAGAGGUAGAUGGAAUUCCCGGUGUAGCGGUGGAAUGCGUAGAUAUCGGGAGGAACACCAGUGGCGAAGGCGGUCUACUGGGCACCAACUGACGCUGAGGCUCGAAAGCAUGGGUAGCAAACAGGAUUAGAUACCCUGGUAGUCCAUGCCGUAAACGAUGAUUACUAGGUGUUGGGGGAUUGACCCCCUCAGUGCCGCAGUUAACACAAUAAGUAAUCCACCUGGGGAGUA
RNAcentral lists this ribosomal RNA (652 nucleotides) under uncultured bacterium. Its description in RNAcentral is "bacterial SSU rRNA". It matches the Rfam family "Bacterial small subunit ribosomal RNA", at positions 213 to 882 of the family's 1533-position model. The record is from RNAcentral.